Molecule: ribosomal RNA, 224 nt
Filed under: uncultured Pseudomonas sp.
Lineage: Bacteria; Pseudomonadati; Pseudomonadota; Gammaproteobacteria; Pseudomonadales; Pseudomonadaceae
Description: partial 16S ribosomal RNA
Rfam family: Bacterial small subunit ribosomal RNA
Source: RNAcentral
CAAACCGGAGGAAGUGGGGAGUGACGUCAAGUCAUCAUGGCCCUUACGGCCUGGGCUACACACGUGCUACAAUGGUCGGUACAAAGGGUUGCCAAGCCGCGAGGUGGAGCUAAUCCCAUAAAACCGAUCGUAGUCCGGAUCGCAGUCUGCAACUCGACUGCGUGAAGUCGGAAUCGCUAGUAAUCGUGAAUCAGAAUGUCACGGUGAAUACGUUCCCGGGCCUU